CUGCUGCCUUCCGUAGGAGUCUGGGCCGUGUCUCAGUCCCAAUGUGGCCGUUCAACCUCUCAGUCCGGCUACUGAUCGUCGCUUUGGUGGGCCGUUACCCCGCCAACUGGCUAAUCAGACGCGAGCUCAUCUUUGGACGAUAAAUCUUUGGCAGCAAAAUCAUGCGGUCCUGCUGCAUUAUGCGGUAUUAGCAGUCGUUUCCGGCUGUUAUCCCCCAUCCAAAGGCAGAUUGCUCACG
Molecule: ribosomal RNA, 238 nt
Filed under: uncultured bacterium
Lineage: Bacteria
Description: partial 16S ribosomal RNA
Source: RNAcentral